RNAcentral lists this ribosomal RNA (493 nucleotides) under uncultured bacterium. RNAcentral describes it as "partial 16S ribosomal RNA". It matches the Rfam family "Bacterial small subunit ribosomal RNA", at positions 29 to 507 of the family's 1533-position model. The record is from RNAcentral.
AGUGAACGCUGGCGGUAGGCCUAACACAUGCAAGUCGAACGGCAGCACAGUAAGAGCUUGCUCUUACGGGUGGCGAGUGGCGGACGGGUGAGGAAUACAUCGGAAUCUACUUUUUCGUGGGGGAUAACGUAGGGAAACUUACGCUAAUACCGCAUACGACCUACGGGUGAAAGCAGGGGAUCUUUGGGACUUGCGGGAGUGGAAGGGCCGGAGGCGGGUUUAGCUAGUUGGGGGGGUAAGGGCCAACCAAGGCGCCGACCCGUAGCUGGUCUGAGAGGAUGAUCAGCCACACUGGAACUGAGACACGGUCCAGACUCCUACGGGAGGCAGCAGUGGGGAAUAUUGGACAAUGGGCGCAAGCCUGAUCCAGCCAUACCGCGUGGGUGAAGAAGGCCUUCGGGUUGUAAAGCCCUUUUGUUGGGAAAGAAAAGCAGCAGGUUAAUACCCCGCUGUUCUGACGGUACCCAAAGAAUAAGCACCGGCUAACUUCGUG